CUAUGUUUUCGUCUGUUGUAUGUUCCCACCUAAUAACAUUUCUUCAUGAAUAAUAACAUGCACGUGUUCCGACCAAGAAGACUACUUCUGUGCUUGAACUAUUCCAAAUUGCAGCUAUUUUUCAGGAGAAGAACAGGUAUGUGUGCCCUGAUUAGAAAAGUGUAGACCUCAGUAGUGUAGAAUUUAUCUGUCGCAUCAGGAAGGCGCCAAAAAACAUGUUUCCUGAACUUCUGGUUUCUGACUUGUAGCAACUCAGGAACAUCCAAAGAUGAUUGGUUCAUCGAUCAAUUGUUGAUAGCAAUUAGCUCAGAGAAUAGAACAACUUUGCAACUGGCAAUCUUGUGCAUUACACCUACUUUGUUUGACAAAAUAUUCCCAAGGGUAGUUUCAGUUUGAUUUAGGCAUCUACAUUAUCUUACAAUCUUGUUUGUAAAUAAUUUUUCAGGUUUAUCUGUACACCGUCCCGUUCGACCCUCGUCUCUGUCGGUGUCGCCCUGCCAUGGCACGGGUGAACUAGAAUGUAUCAUCAGUUCGUCACCAAUAAGCAAUGAAAUCUGAUGUGUUUUUUGUUCCUGAUCCCAUGGUUACUCUAAAUUUUGAAAGUUGAUUAUGCAGUUUAAAAACCUGUCUUGACCUUUUCUGGCCUCUUCACCAUAUUGAUUUGCUAGAAGUUAUUGUGGUUUUCAUUGAUUUGGAAUAUGUGGCUAUAUAUCCGUGGGCAGUUUUUGGUUAUUACCAGGAAGAAGAGAACAUGAGCAUGCGUGUUUGCAAAAUUUGGUGUGCUUCUAGCUCCCAAUAUGUCUUUGUGCUUGAUCAAUUGUUCGCCUCAUGGUAUUUAGUGUAAUUUUGCCUUGAUUAUUAGCAUCUGAGUAUUAAUGCUUGCAGGAGUGGGUGGAGCGGGACUAGGUUGUCGUCCAAGUUGCUCCACACCCUUUGACAUUGUUGCGUCUAGACCAUCGCUCAGCUCCCACAUCUGUAUGCAUGUCUGGUCUAAGCACUUGAAUUUUUGUUAUAUGGUGCAUAUGCAUUUGCUACAGUUUUGUUCAGGUAUAUCUAUUUUAAUGUUCUCAAUGUCAAUCUAUUCUUUGUACCACCAGGAUUAAAGCAAUACAAAAAAGGAUCUUCUAACAUGUUUUUUUACAUUUAUUUGGUCUAAUUAAAAUGGUAUUUAUUCAUAGACAUGUGCAGAAGAGGGAAUAGAUGUCAAUUGAUGCUAAAUCUUUCAUAUAAACACAUAAAUAGCUCUCGACGCAUGACAUGUUUUUUCUGAUAUUGUUCUAUUUCAAUGCAACAAAUCUAGAUUUAUGUUACUUAUUAUUCAUACUCAAACAGUGCUCUAAUGCAGGACUUCUCCUUUGUCAUUGGAUUAAAAAGACAAACACUUAUACCAACUAUUUAUUGUUUUUCUUUUCUGAAAUCGAGGAUUCACUUUGUAAUGUGCCGAGAGGUACUUAUGUGUUUUUAUUAUUCAUGAAUGGCAUGACCAAGAAUGCAGGGAGGAAAUGUUCUAUAAAUCAAGACAAACAUGUUGAAACUUGGUAAUGUUGCAGGGAACUUAAGUAGAAGUACAAUAUUUCCAUGAAAGCUUCAGUUCUUAUUCUCUGAUCAUGUUGUUGGGAAUGGCAAUCACUCGCAGCUUCCUGUCUAAAAACCUUAAUUGUGGUCUAGGUUUUUUGGUUCUGAAGCAACGUAAUAAACAUUACUAUUUGACAAAGUAAAAGGUUCUUCUUCAUUGAAAUAUUUUCUUAUCCUGUUUGUAGGAUUUGGCCAUGAUUCUCUUUCCUCAUUUGUACAUUUGGUGUUUUGUUGUGUCUCAAAGUUGAACCUUUUACGUGAUGUCAAUUUUUUUGACGCUUUUACAAGUUAUCUAUUGUAUACGUUGAUGCUUUUAUUUCUAAGAUGUAUUCUUUAGUGAUACUCACAUCUUAUUUGCCUCUCUAUGCAAUGAUAGGAAUGAAAAUAUGAUUGAAUUCUGAAUCUGAUAUUAUGUGGCCUAACCAUUAUAUGUCCUCUUGUGAAUUUUUAUUCUCUUGGUUGUGGGCUACAUCUGGUCGCUCUAGGACAAAGCAACAUCUUCCCCACCUUAGAGCUCCAAAUAUGGUGUCUCGACAUCAAAAGAUUGGACCAUGAGGAUUGGAGUUUGAACGGGAUGCACUUGAUGUGAGAGGAAGAGAUGCCUCGCAUGCAAUAUUGACGAGCUCGGGAUACUAUACAAGCUAGAUGGUGUUGCCUUGUCUGUUAUACAUGUUUGUUUUUGCUCAUAGCCCAUUAUAAUUGUGUAUCCCAUGGAUUUCAUUUAUCAUGUAAAUUGUAUGAUCAAAUUAUGGAUCUUAAUGUUUGCUUCCUUUUCAGCAUUCAUUUGUGGUUUUGCUUGAAGGUUUUCAGCCUACAAUGGAGAUAUUAAUUUUUACUAUGUUUUCACAUUUUUGUCAUGACACACAUUUAGGUUGAGAUGGUAGUAGCAAGACACUUGACUUGUUCUUUAACGGCUUGACGGUUAAGAAGAUGUCCAUUUGGCAGGAAGGAGUGGGUGCUUGGACUAAAUGGGAUGCAUGAUAUAUGUGUUCAUAAAAUAUUUCACUCAUGUCUAACAUAUCUAUAUUGUUCUGUGGCAACGCACGGGCAUCCAACUAGUGAACCUUAAAAUCGGCUCAAAGCUUGGCUUGCUAGAACCGCUUGAAUCGGUCGUUUCAGGCUGAGUUGAGCAUAAAAAGGGGCAAUUACUAGGGGCGGAGAUACAGUGUGCCCAGGGUGGGCCACGGUUUUUGAAGCAACCUAUCUAUAUCUAUAUCUAUACCUAUUAAUAAAGCAAUGUGAUACUAAUAAUGCAACAAAUCUAGAUUUAUGUUAUUUAUUAUUCAUACUCAAACAGUGCUCUAAUGCAGGACUUCUCCUUUGUCAUUGGAUUAAAAAGACAAACACUUAUACCAGCUAUUUAUUGUUUUUCUUUUCUGAAAUCGAGGAUUCACUUUGUAAUGUGCUGAGAGGUACUUAUGUGUUUUUAUUGUUCAUGAAUGGCAUGACCAAGAAUGCAGGGAGGAAAUGUUC
This 3048-nucleotide long non-coding RNA is filed under the name Triticum aestivum (bread wheat). Its description in RNAcentral is "long non-coding RNA (TAES_LNC001368)". The record is from RNAcentral. Lineage: Eukaryota; Viridiplantae; Streptophyta; Magnoliopsida; Poales; Poaceae.